This 2649-nucleotide ribosomal RNA is filed under the name Escherichia coli. RNAcentral describes it as "bacterial LSU rRNA". It matches the Rfam family "Bacterial large subunit ribosomal RNA". The record is from RNAcentral. Lineage: Bacteria; Pseudomonadati; Pseudomonadota; Gammaproteobacteria; Enterobacterales; Enterobacteriaceae.
AGUGUACCUGCAAAGGUUCACUGCGAAGUUUUGCUCUUUAAAAAUCUGGAUCAAGCUGAAAAUUGAAACACUGAACAACGCAAGUUGUUCGUGAGUCUCUCAAAUUUUCGCAACACGAUGAUGAAUCGAAAGAANCACACUAUCAUUAACUGAAUCCAUAGGUUAAUGAGGCGAACCGGGGGAACUGAAACAUCUAAGUACCCCGAGGAAAAGAAAUCAACCGAGAUUCCCCCAGUAGCGGCGAGCGAACGGGGAGCAGCCCAGAGCCUGAAUCAGUGUGUGUGUUAGUGGAAGCGUCUGGAAAGGCGCGCGAUACAGGGUGACAGCCCCGUACACAAAAAUGCACAUACUGUGAGCUCGAUGAGUAGGGCGGGACACGUGGUAUCCUGUCUGAAUAUGGGGGGACCAUCCUCCAAGGCUAAAUACUCCUGACUGACCGAUAGUGAACCAGUACCGUGAGGGAAAGGCGAAAAGAACCCCGGCGAGGGGAGUGAAAAAGAACCUGAAACCGUGUACGUACAAGCAGUGGGAGCNGAAAGGCCAAUCAAACCGGGAGAUAGCUGGUUCUCCCCGAAAGCUAUUUAGGUAGCGCCUCGUGAAUUCAUCUCCGGGGGUAGAGCACUGUUUCGGCAAGGGGGUCAUCCCGACUUACCAACCCGAUGCAAACUGCGAAUACCGGAGAAUGUUAUCACGGGAGACACACGGCGGGGGCUAACGUCCGUCGUGAAGAGGGAAACAACCCAGACCGCCAGCUAAGGUCCCAAAGUCAUGGUUAAGUGGGAAACGAUGUGGGAAGGCCCAGACAGCCAGGAUGUUGGCUUAGAAGCAGCCAUCAUUUAAAGAAAGCGUAAUAGCUCACUGGUCGAGUCGGCCUGCGCGGAAGAUGUAACGGGGCUAAACCAUGCACCGAAGCUGCGGCAGCGACACUGUGUGUUGUUGGGUAGGGGAGCGUUCUGUAAGCCUGUGAAGGUGUNAUGCUGGAGGUAUCAGAAGUGCGAAUGCUGACAUAAGUAACGAUAAAGCGGGUGAAAAGCCCGCUCGCCGGAAGACCAAGGGUUCCUGUCCAACGUUAAUCGGGGCAGGGUGAGUCGACCCCUAAGGCGAGGCCGAAAGGCGUAGUCGAUGGGAAACAGGUUAAUAUUCCUGUACUUGGUGUUACUGCGAAGGGGGGACGGAGAAGGCUAUGUUGGCCGGGCGACGGUUGUCCCGGUUUAAGCGUGUAGGCUGGUUUUCCAGGCAAAUCCGGAAAAUCAAGGCUGAGGCGUGAUGACGAGGCACUACGGUGCUGAAGCAACAAAUGCCCUGCUUCCAGGAAAAGCCUCUAAGCAUCAGGUAACAUCAAAUCGUACCCCAAACCGACACAGGUGGUCAGGUAGAGAAUACCAAGGCGUUUGAGAGAACUCGGGUGAAGGAACUAGGCAAAAUGGUGCCGUAACUUCGGGAGAAGGCACGCUGAUAUGUAGGUGAAGUCCCUCGCGGAUGGAGCUGAAAUCAGUCGAAGAUACCAGCUGGCUGCAACUGUUUAUUAAAAACACAGCACUGUGCAAACACGAAAGUGGACGUAUACGGUGUGACGCCUGCCCGGUGCCGGAAGGUUAAUUGAUGGGGUCAGCGCAAGCGAAGCUCUUGAUCGAAGCCCCGGUAAACGGCGGCCGUAACUAUAACGGUCCUAAGGUAGCGAAAUUCCUUGUCGGGUAAGUUCCGACCUGCACGAAUGGCGUAAUGAUGGCCAGGCUGUCUCCACCCGAGACUCAGUGAAAUUGAACUCGCUGUGAAGAUGCAGUGUACCCGCGGCAAGACGGAAAGACCCCGUGAACCUUUACUAUAGCUUGACACUGAACAUUGAGCCUUGAUGUGUAGGAUAGGUGGGAGGCUUUGAAGUGUGGACGCCAGUCUGCAUGGAGCCGACCUUGAAAUACCGCCCUUUAAUGUUUGAUGUUCUAACGUGGACCCGUGAUCCGGGUUGCGGACAGUGUCUGGUGGGUAGUUUGACUGGGGCGGUCUCCUCCUAAAGAGUAACGGAGGAGCACGAAGGUUGGCUAAUCCUGGUCGGACAUCAGGAGGUUAGUGCAAUGGCAUAAGCCAGCUUGACUGCGAGCGUGACGGCGCGAGCAGGUGCGAAAGCAGGUCAUAGUGAUCCGGUGGUUCUGAAUGGAAGGGCCAUCGCUCAACGGAUAAAAGGUACUCCGGGGAUAACAGGCUGAUACCGCCCAAGAGUUCAUAUCGACGGCGGUGUUUGGCACCUCGAUGUCGGCUCAUCACAUCCUGGGGCUGAAGUAGGUCCCAAGGGUAUGGCUGUUCGCCAUUUAAAGUGGUACGCGAGCUGGGUUUAGAACGUCGUGAGACAGUUCGGUCCCUAUCUGCCGUGGGCGCUGGAGAACUGAGGGGGGCUGCUCCUAGUACGAGAGGACCGGAGUGGACGCAUCACUGGUGUUUGGGUUGUCAUGCCAAUGGCACUGCCCGGUAGCUAAAUGCGGAAGAGAUAAGUGCUGAAAGCAUCUAAGCACGAAACUUGCCCCGAGAUGAGUUCUCCCUGACCCUUUAAGGGUCCUGAAGGAACGUUGAAGACGACGACGUUGAUAGGCCGGGUGUGUAAGCGCAGCGAUGCGUUGAGCUAACCGGUACUAAUGAACCGUGAGGCUUAACCUU